Molecule: ribosomal RNA, 466 nt
Filed under: uncultured bacterium
Lineage: Bacteria
Description: partial 16S ribosomal RNA
Rfam family: Bacterial small subunit ribosomal RNA
Source: RNAcentral
GAUGAACGCUGGCGGCGUGCUUAACACAUGCAGGUCGAACGAUCAAGCCCAGCUUUCUGGGUUGAUUAGUUGCGAACGGGUGAGUAACACGUGAGUAGCCUGCCCUUCUCUCUGGGUUAAGCCUCUUCAACUGGGUCUAGUACUUGAUAUGACUUCUCAUCGCAUGGUUGGGGGUGUAAAGAUUUAUUGUUUUUGGAUGGACUCGCGGCCUAUCAGCUUGUUGGUGAGUUAUUGGCUCACGAAGGGCACGACGGGUAGCCGGCCUGUGAGCGUGAACGGCGACAAUGGGCCUGAGAGACGCAGCAGAAUCCUACGGUCGGCAGCAGGCGAAAAUAUGGCACAAUGGGCGCAAGCGUGAUGUAAAGGCGUUGCGUGAGGGAUGACGGCUUUCGGGUUGUAAACCUAUGUCAGUAGGGAAGAAGCGAGAGUGACGGUACCUGAAGAAGAAGCGACGGCUAACUACGUG